RNAcentral lists this ribosomal RNA (253 nucleotides) under uncultured bacterium. RNAcentral describes it as "partial 16S ribosomal RNA". It matches the Rfam family "Bacterial small subunit ribosomal RNA", at positions 524 to 776 of the family's 1533-position model. The record is from RNAcentral.
UACGGGGGGGGCAAGCGUUGUUCGGAAUUACUGGGCGUAAAGGGCUCGUAGGCGGCCAACUAAGUCGGAUGUGAAAUCCCCAGGCUCAACCUGGGAACUGCAUCCGAUACUGGAUGGCUUGAAUUCGGGAGAGGGAUGCAGAAUUCCAGGUGUAGCGGUGAAAUGCGUAGAUAUCUGGAGGAAUACCGGUGGCGAAGGCGGCAUCCUGGACCGACAUUGACGCUGAGGAGCGAAAGCUAGGGGAGCAAACGGG